This 268-nucleotide long non-coding RNA is filed under the name Elaeis guineensis (African oil palm). RNAcentral's name for it is "long non-coding RNA (EGUI_LNC023271)". Lineage: Eukaryota; Viridiplantae; Streptophyta; Magnoliopsida; Arecales; Arecaceae. The record is from RNAcentral.
GAGUCGAGUUAGAGUCGGCUCAGCAGUCUAUCACAUCCCAAGAAGUCCGGAUUAAGAAAAAGAAGCAUGCGAUCAAUAAAGUCUAGAGGGAAUGUGACAACUUCUUCAAGGAGCUUGAAGAAGAGCGGGAGAAGCAUCGGACCACCUAAGCAAGGUUAGUGCUGGUCGAUGCAGAGUCGGCUUCUACUAAGGAGGAAGCAAAGUCAGCCAAGGAGGCUCUCGAUCGGGCUAUUGAAGAUUAUAAGAGGUUGGAAGAAUUCAAGAAUGA